AGCUGCACCCACGGCCUAUGGAAGUUCCCAAGAUAGGGAUCUAAUUGGAGCUACUGCUGCCAGGCUACACCACAGCCACAGCCACACCAAGCCACAUCUGCGACCUACACCACAGCUCACAGCAACCCUGGAUCCUUAUCCCACUGAGCAAGGCCAGGGAUCAAACACACAUCCUCAUGGAUACUAGUCGGAUUCAUUUCCAUUGAGCCACGAUGGGCACUGCAGGCUUUUUCAUUUUUGCCAGUCCAAGGGGAGUCCCACUUCGCUGUGGUCUUAGUUUGUGUGUCCUUGUGGACUAGGGGGUGGAACCCCUUUCCCUGCGCCUCUUGGCACUCAGCUUCCCUGUGCUGCGAAGUGUCCCUGAAAGUCUUUGCUCAUUUUCCUGUGGAGUUGCUGCUUUUUCCUGGAUUUUCAGAGGUUCUUUAUGUACUGCAGACACCCAUCCCUGGUCAGAUAGAUAUGUGACAAAUAUCAUCAUUUUCUAAAAACUUUACUCAAGUGCCUUCCACACUAUUGUCUUUAACCCACCUGGAAAUGACUCAUUUUAAGUGUGAAUUAGAGGCUCAUUUUUACUUUCCCCUCAUUUGGUUCAUAACCACUGCAGUCUGUCCUCUCCUCCAUCUGCGUUUUGAUCUCAGCCACCUAUCUAUAUGUAUGCCUGUAGCCAAGGCUGUAUUUUAUUCAAUUGAUCUCUUUAUCUUAUCAUCUGUUUCAUUCUACAUGUCGCAAUCACUAAUCAUUCAGCUGCUCUAACCAUCAUUUCCUAAUGGACAGGCACACAAGAGUCCCUCUGUGCCUUAGGUGCCUUAGGUGUGUGCUUCCUGCUCAAAGUCCUGCUGGGACCACCUGUCUCCUGCUCUUGUCUUCACUGGAUGAUUUCUCAGCCUCCUGGAUAGUUGUCACAUUAGGACUUCCCUUCCCUUCCCUCUUCCAUCCAAGAAAGUGUUUUCUGCUCCCUUGAUCUACUUUUUGGUUUUGUUGGAAUAUUCUUCUAGUGGCUUUAUGAGAGAGUCACAGGAGGUAAACUUAGAGAACUUGCAUUUCCAGACCAUUGGUGGAUAGUUUAGCUGGGUACAGAAUUCCAUGUAGGAGUGGAGUUCCCAUCCUGGUGCAGCAGAAAUGAAUCUUACUAGGAACCAUGAGGUUGUGGGUGCGAUUCCUGGCCUUUCUCAGUGGGUUAAGGAUCUGGCAUUGCCAUGAGCUGUGGUGUAGGUUGCAGACAUGGCUCUGAUCUGGCAUUGCUGUGGCUGUGCUGUUGGACGGCAGCUGUAGCUCCAAUUAGACCCCUAGCCUGGGAACCUCCAUAUGCCAAAGAUAAUAUUUUCCAAAAAAUAGAACAAGAUGUCCAGUCCUGAAUGCUCCUCCAGUGCCUAGUUACUCUUUACUAGGCCACAUCCUGGAACAUCAGUGGGGCUUUGGAACUGCCCUGACACACAGAAGGUGGCAGAGGGCAGGCUGGCUGACUUUCUAGGCUAGGGCAUGAAAGGUGACAGGGCUUCCUACUGGCCCUCUCUCCUGGGACUCUCAGCCCUGGAAACCAGCUUCCAUGUUGUGAGGAAGCCCUGACCACAUAUGGAUGUCCUGGUUGGUAACCUCGACUAAGUCAUCAGCCAAGAAUUAGCAUCAACCCUAGAUGUCUGUAACCAAUCUUCCAGGUAAUAUCAGCUCCCAAACUUCAAAUGAAGUUUGGCCGAAGCCAAGUGGAGAGUAUAGUGUCCCCACGGUCCUACUCAAAUCGAAGGUCUAUGACUGUUUUGAGCCACUAAGUUGUAGCGUAUUAUGUAGUCUGAGUGACUGGAAUGGCUCUCUUUGUGCCAGCUACCAGCUACUAUUGGGAAUAUGAUGAUGGUGAGCCGGCCAGCCAUUCAGUCCCCCUAAGGAGAUCAUAAUCUAUUCAAUCAAUUUAAAUAAAGAAUACUUCCCAGGCAUGGGCCCCAGCCUGAGCAGGGUGAGAUGCCUUCCAUCAUUCAGAAAAGACUUAUCUAAUAUCCACCACCCACCAGGCAUGCUGGGCAUGCAGCAAGGGACAAGAAGCAAAAAUUCCUCCCCUUAAAGAUCUAACCUUCCCUUGGAGAGAGACAGUGCCCCAUGGCCCAGUGGGCAGCAGGGUGGGGAGUGGUCCUUGGGGGCAGUACUCAGCGAGGGGAAGGUGUCUCCAGGACAGAAGCCCGAGGUGGCCUGGGUUAGGCAGCCACCCCCUGCAGGAGGAAGACUACCCUAAGGGGAGCGGGAUGGGGAGCCAGGCAGGGUGCUGAGCCCGAGUGUCUGCUGAGAGUGAGCUAAGCCCAAGAGAAAUCGGGAAGAAUGGAGCUGUGUGGACUGGAAGACCCCCCCGAUGCCCCAAGUCAAAUGAAUGUGAAAACUGAGCAGCUAUGUACACCAGGGCUUUUUAUGUACUGCAAAAUAAAACACCCAAGCCCUGAAAGCUUCCUGGGAAUCAGAAAUUCUUUUAAAGAUUAAACCUUCAAAUCUACCCUCAAAAAACAGCCUCGGAGUGCCAGAAAUCUUCUCAGGGAAGAAUAAGGCAAAAUCGUGUCACAGUCAGUGAACGGGCUCCUCUCUGCCAACAGUGGGAACUGCUCGGAUCUGCAGCUGCCAGAGGAGAUCCAGCCUCUCAGACAAGAUGUCCCUCAAGGAGCUGGCCUUUCCCUCUCUGUUUCAGACGGGGACACUGAGGCCCGGGAAGGUCCAAGCCUAUGAAGGCCACACGGCCGGCAAGACUCUGAUGAGGGCUCCUUUCUUUACAAACAUCUUGUGGGGCAGGGGCUGGGAUUUUUCUGCCUGCAAAGUGUGGCUUGUCACCUAGCUCUGGCUUCAGACAACCUUGGUUCAGCUCAGGGUUCAGCUGCCUUCGAGCUGUGCAGCCUGGAGAGAGUCAGUGCACCUCUCUGUGCCUCAGUCUCCUCCACACAAGGACCACAAGGGAAUGGGCUCAGCCAGGCUGUAGGAGCAUCAGAUGAGUUCAUACUGGCUGUGCCCUUGCAAGGAGCCUGGCCCAGCCUGAGCUCUCACAUGCAGGGCUGCUUGGCCUCGGACUCAGAGUCUGCACCUCGUCUGGGCCCCUCUCAGCACCCCCUGCCCUCCCAAGACUCCUCCUCUGCGGCUGCAGCCACACAGACCGCCCGGACUUCUUAGUUCCUCCAGGCUGCCUGCCCCAGGACCUUGGCACUACCUGCUUCCUCUUCCUUUGAGGCUGCUCUCACCUCCUCAAGGGGGCCUGCUGCCACUGCUGGUUCCAGAUUGCAGUCCAGGCCUCCAGCUGGCACAGAGGCUUGCCCUGGCCCCUCCGCCUCUACUGUUCUACCAUCUAUCUCCCUGUGACCUGCCCUGGCCCGAGAGUUUCUUCCACGGGCUGAUCCAUCUUUCCUGGACAGAAGGCAGCCUCCUGAGGGCAGAAAGCUUUGCCUGUGUGUUUGCUGCUCUGGCCCAAAUGCCCAGAGGGCACCUGGCACACCGCAGUGACUCUGAGCAGUGCUGACUCAACUGUGGCUUUCAGAACCAGCUGGGAGUCUCCAGAAAGCACCCAUUCCUGGGCCCCAAAUCAGCCUUUCUAGGGGUGAGCUUUGAAACUGUUUGCUGCCCUCCUGCCCAGGAGCUGGGUCUGAUGCAGGCCACUUAUUACAGAGUCACUGCGCCAGAGGGGCCCCUGGGCACGCCUCACCCUAGGCCACAAACCACUGCUGACUUCUGGGGCCCUCUCUGUCCAGGUCCCUGGGUCUCCCUGGCCUUCUAACAGGGCAACGUGCCCAAUGUUUAUGAGAAACAUUUGCUUUUGCAAGAAGUGGCCAGAGGCAUGGAAAAAAAGUCCCAGCCAGGACAGGACAGAUAAAGGCUCGUUUCCAGGUGGUUGAAGAGGUCUUGGUCCUGAGGAAGGAGGAUGGCCUGAGGCUGCCUGGGGUGGGCUGGAGAAGAGAUGCAGGAAGAUGUGCGUCUGACCUGGGCCCGCUGGCCUGGCUGUCACCCCAAGCAGGGUGGGGAGCGCCCCCUGCAGGGGAAGGUGGUGAUUCAAACCCCUCCCCACCCCCACCUUGACUCCUGCAGGAGGCACUGAGCUGGGGCAGGGCUAGGGGUGUGCCUGGCACUUCCAGGAUCAGGGGCUGGAGUCUGUUAACCAGCCCUGCCAUUGGCUCUCCCAUCAAGGACGUCAAGGAGUCCUUGCAGAUAGUCCAUCUUGACCUACCACGCCCCCACCUGCCCAGCCUUCUGCUCCCAUGGGGUACCUGCUGCAGGUGUGGCAGCGGAGGGCACUCCCUUUCCUAGGGGCUGGCUGUGAUGAUGAGACCCCAUGGGGAACUACCUGAGGGGCCAGGGAAUGUCCCCCCACCGCCUCCCCCACCCCCGCCCAAGCAGGAUAGCCCUGGAGAGAACGUGAGCUAGUGAGUAUGCGUUAGUCCGUUUUGUGUUUUAAAAAAUGUACAAGCUCCUCUGCUCACACUCUGGGUGGAGUGCUGGGCACAGUGGCGGGUAGGCACACUGGCUCCUCACCUACUCCCUCAGCACCAUUUGGCUCCCUCGCCAUGUGUGAAUUACAGACUAAUACAUUGACAACAGACUCCUCCAGCUCCACCGAGUGCAGGCCAGCCGCCGGGCACCCUGGCAGGCGUCUCACACCCCAGGAAGCAGAUGUCCCUUCCUUAGCACCUGCCCUGGGAGGGCCGGCUCCUCAGGGCCCUGGGGAAGCAGAUGUCAGAGAAUCCAGUGGUGCUGGACCAUGGUGGGCCUAGGACAGGGAUGGGGCAGCCAACAGCUCCCACAACUUCCCACUGCCCGUGCUGGAGGCAAGCCCUGCCCUGGUCUCCUGAUCACCAUUGCAGUGCCUGGGUUUGCCCGGCUGACCAUGCUCUGGACACACCGGCCUUCUCUCAGUCUGUCUCACCCCAGGGCCUUUGCACAUGCUGGCUCUGGGCCACAAGCGCUCUGCAGUGACUCACUCUGGGCUGGGCCUCAUCCCAGGGCCCCAGUCCUAGGAGGCCUGUCGACAUUCCAACUUCACUAUGCCUCCUGCUCCCCUUACUUUCUGCCUCAUCCCCUGGCUGAUGUGCAUUGCCAGGUACCUGUGGAAACUGUCAGGGAGCAGGAACACGUUUCCUUUCUGGCCCUUUUGCCCCAGGUCUCAUGGUGAGUUAGAUGUGAUGAUGAAGGGUGCUUUUUUCUUUUUUUAUACUCGUCUGUAUUUUCUGAUAUUUGGAGCAGUAGGAACAUUAAUUUUUAUACUGAUUAAAAAACUAUUUCAGAAAUAACAUACUAAGUUGCACAAACAGACAUACAAUAAAGCCAUAUAUUUUUUGGUUAUGAAGGUAAUACAUAUUCACUGCAGAAAAUCU
Molecule: long non-coding RNA, 5324 nt
Filed under: Sus scrofa (pig)
Lineage: Eukaryota; Metazoa; Chordata; Mammalia; Artiodactyla; Suidae
Description: lncRNA (ENSSSCG00000051895.1)
Source: RNAcentral